UUAGUUUAAACAAUAUUUAUUCAGAUAAAUCAACAUUAAACAUAUUAUACAAUGAAAUAAUAUUAGGGAUUCAGAAACAAGCAAUUUGCUUUUACAAAUCUGUCUCCCUUUACAGACAUAAUACACUUAUUGAACAAUACAUAAAUAUAAAUACUGGCAUGCUCUGUAAUAAAUAUAUGAAUAUGAAAAAGGUGAAAAAGGAAGAAAAAAAAAAUUCAUGAGAAAAAUAAAAUAAAAAUAAUAAUAAAUAAACGUGAAUAAUUGUAAUUUAUACAGUGUGAAAUGCUUGGGUUCCUAUUGAGUGAUGAGGCAUUAACAUCAAGGGUUAAAACGUUUACUUUUAAUAAUAUUUUUGCACCAAACUGAAUAAAAUACUAUUUUGCUCAUCUGAGAGUACCGUUGAUCCAAAAAGCAAAGUUUUUGUGUUUACUUGGACAGGAAGAACUGAAAUAGAAUCUAAUAGUUCAUGUCUUAAAUUAAUGUAUAUAGGACAAGAUAACAGAAAGUGAGUAUUUGUUUCUACAUCACCACAACGACAAUUUGGAGAGUCUACUAAAUUACGAACGAAAAGGUGAGAAUUCAAAGAACUUGAAUCCAUUCUUAAGCGAGCAUGAAGAAGAAUUUGACCAAAACGAUGUCCUAUAUAAUAAUACGUUGGGACCUUACUAUUUUGGGUACUAAUUUGUUUUUUGAAUAAUGAUAGAGAUUCACAUUUUCUUAUGUUUAAGUUAAGAGUGUUCCAUAGUUUUGUUGUUGCAGGGAUGAAAUAUUCAGAAUAUAAACGGGUCCGUGUGUUGACUUGGGUAAUAUUAUUUCUUUGUCUUGUAUUAUGAUCAUGCCUACUUCCUACUGAAUCAGGCAAUAAGUCUCUUAAAUACUCUGGAGUUUUAUUAUUCAAAAUUUUGUGAUAAUGAAUUAGUCUAUGAUUGCGUCGUCUUUCAGAUAAUUUUUCCCAUCGAGUUUCAAUAUAUAAAUUGUUUAUACUGGUAAGUUUAGUACCCCCCGUGACGAUACGCGCUGCGUCAAGCUGAAUAUUUUCAAGUUUAGCAAUCAAAUUCUGAUUUUGGGAGUCCCAAACGACAUCGGCAUAUUCGAGAAUUGGGCGAACAAAUGAUAUGUAAACUUUUUCAAGUGAAAAUCUAUCAAGAACAUUUUUCAUUUUUCUCAUUAUAUUUAUUCUUUUGUAAGAUUUAGAAACUAUAUAUUCAAUAUGGUCGUUCCAGGAUCCGUUGUUAGAAAAAAAGACACCUAGAUGUUUGUGUUUGCUAACUGUUUGUAGCUCUUGGGUAUUCAUAUUUAAUGGAGGAUGAAAGGGUCUAUUUACUUUUUUUGAAAUUAUCAUACUUUUAGUUUUUUGGGCAUUAAAAUUCACAAGCCAUUUUUUUGACCAAUUAUAAAUCUUAUCUAGAUCGUCAUUUAAAAUUGUAGCUGUUUCUGUUGGAUUGUCAACCAUAAUAUAUAAUGAAGUGUCAUCUGCGAAUAGCUUAAUUUGAGCUUGAAUGUCUUCUACAAUAUCAUUUAUAAAUAUCAAAAAAAGGAGAGGGCCUAGAAUGGACCCUUGUGGGACGCCUGCAUUAACAGGUAACCAUUCGGAACAUGAACCGUUAAUAACCACCCGCUGGACUCUGUUUGUAAGAUAAUUUUCAAACCACCUUAGUAAAGAACCUGAUAUACCCGCUUGUUGAAGUUUAAAUAGCAGUCCCUUAUGCCAGACUCGAUCAAACGCUUUACUUAUAUCACAGAAUACUACCCUUAUUUCUUUACCGCUAUCUAAAGCCUUCCCAAAAAUCAUUUGAAAUGUUAAUUAAUUGAUUAACCGCUGAAUCCCCCCGUGUAAAGCCUGAUUGAUUUUUCGUUAAAAUAUUAUUACGCAUAAGGUGAUUGUAAACAUGUUUAUAUACACAUCGUUCCAUACACUUUGAAAUUACACUCAACAAGGAAAUAGGUCUAUAGUUUUUAACGUCAUUCGGUUUACUAUUUUUAUAAACUGGGGUAACAUUUGCUCUUUUCCAUUGAUCUGGAAAAGUAGACGUACUUAACGAUAAGUUAAAUAGCUUACAUAGUGGAUACUUCAAAACAGAAGAUGCUUCUUUUAACAAUUUGGGACUUAUUAGGUCUGGGC
RNAcentral lists this long non-coding RNA (2122 nucleotides) under Mytilus galloprovincialis (Mediterranean mussel). Lineage: Eukaryota; Metazoa; Mollusca; Bivalvia; Mytilida; Mytilidae. The record is from RNAcentral.